This 337-nucleotide ribosomal RNA is filed under the name uncultured cyanobacterium. RNAcentral's name for it is "bacterial SSU rRNA". It matches the Rfam family "Bacterial small subunit ribosomal RNA", at positions 356 to 707 of the family's 1533-position model. Lineage: Bacteria; Bacillati; Cyanobacteriota. The record is from RNAcentral.
GGGAAAUUUUCCGCAAUGGGCGAAAGCCUGACGGAGCAAGACCGCGUGGGGGAGGAAGGUUCUUGGAUUGUCAACCCCUUUUCUCAGGGAAGAACACAAUGACGGUACCUGAGGAAAAAGCAUCGGCUAACUCCGUGCCAGCAGCCGCGGUAAUACGGGGGAUGCAAGCGUUAUCCGGAAUGAUUGGGCGUAAAGAGUCCGUAGGUAGUCAUCCAAGUCUGCUGUUAAAGAGCGAGGCUUAACCUCGUAAAGGCAGUGGAAACUGGAAGACUAGAGUGUAGUAGGGGCAGAGGGAAUUCCUGGUGUAGCGGUGAAAUGCGUAGAGAUCAGGAAGAAC